Arachis ipaensis is the source of this 794-nucleotide long non-coding RNA. RefSeq lists it as uncharacterized. The record is from RefSeq and is a predicted model, not a curated record. NCBI's taxonomy places the organism in Eukaryota, Viridiplantae, Streptophyta, Magnoliopsida, Fabales, Fabaceae.
CUCCGCUGCCGCUCCCUUCCAUCCCUGCAAACCCUUAACCCUUUUCUGCGCCGCUCCCUUCCUCGUGCAGGGGCCCUUCCAUCGAUGCUUCAUUGCUGGUUUUGAGAGCUGGAAUUUGAUGACGUUUUGAUUCGAAGGAUUCAGCAACUUGAAAAUAUAAAACAUAGACCUGAAUAAUGAAAUUCUAUUUUGCGCAGAACACCAGGCUCGUGACUUUUCUGCCGAUAAUUUCUUCUCUAAACACUAUCUGAGUACAUACUAUUCUUAUCAAAUGGUGUAUGGCACUCAAGAUCUUCAGGAGUUGGUGUUGGAGAUCUAUAUGGAGAUCUUAAGCAGGCUAGAUCUGUACUUCAAAUGGCUGGUGUAUUGAGCCCUGAUGGUUAAGACUUCUGGACUGGUGGAGAAACGGUGUUGAUUGUUGGAGAUAUACUAGAUCAAGAUGAAGAAGAAAUUGCUAUCUUGUCCUUGUUGCGAUCAUUGGAUAAACAGGCAAAGGCAAAAGGUGGAGCUGUGUUUCAGGUCCUUCUUAAAGGCCCAAAGAACUUCAGGAGAGCUGUGAAACACUUGGGUCCUGCUCCUGGUGUUCCUUAUAGCUAUAUCAAGCCUUAUGUACGAUCUAAGGGAAGCAAGUUUGAGAAGGUUAGAGGAAGGAAGAACAGCAAACGACUUGGGGUUUAAGUUGUAUUAUUUCUUUAUUUUUCUUUAGUUUUUAGUUUUGGAAUUUGAACUUGAGAUUUAUUUUGUAUUUGAGUAUUAGUUUUUUAAUGUAUAAUACAAUUAUAGCAAAAAUUAUA